Ornithodoros turicata is the source of this 479-nucleotide long non-coding RNA. RefSeq lists it as uncharacterized. The record is from RefSeq and is a predicted model, not a curated record. The transcript has 3 exons. NCBI's taxonomy places the organism in Eukaryota, Metazoa, Arthropoda, Arachnida, Ixodida, Argasidae.
UGUCUUUGUCGGGUUGGAAGGGAAAUGAGAGGAGAAUGGUAGGGAGAUUACCUUUCACCUGGCAAUUGUUCGGACAGAUCGCUAAUGAUAAUAGAAUGGAAAUGCUCCAUGGUGUCUGCAGGGGGGCUCGACUGUGCAGGCGCUCGUUUAAUAAGCUCUGCCGUUCUCAUUCAACACCAGACUUGUUUUCACGUAAAGUUGCCGACUGUUUGUACCAAGGCUCUAUUCACUGUCGUUUCGCCAUGUCAGCUGCAUUACGCUGAGGUCGUCGAGAAGGCGUUGGACAGUUUUACUACGAUGGACGGAGCUGCCAUCGUGCUGGAAAUGGUAGCACCCAUCCGUGAACGGCCCGUCCAGAGCAUAGGGGAGCAGCGUCCUCUCGAUGACCUCUGCGUAGGCCAUGGAAUUGAAGCGCCCUUCCAGUCGUACCAAAGGCCCGAGUCCGUCGUACGACAGGGCGCCCCAGACGCUCACCGUGU